UUUGGCUCUUCCCGCCCGGCCUGCGUUGUGCGCCUGCGCAGCCGCCGCAAACCCGCGUUGCUCAGCGAUGGAGUUUGGGGUUCGGCCUCCUUCGGCUGGACUCGGGCAUUUCCGUUCAUGGAGAUGACGCUUCGGCGGCCUUGCAGGUCACUUCCGGCGACUUUCGCGGGGCCGGGCAGGAAGCGGAGUUAGUCGCCAUCUUUGAGUGGGGCAGACGUGGGCCGCUUUUGCUCGCGGUCACUUCAUCUUAAGUUGUAUAUAUGUGCAGAGCGCGGCGCGGGUGGUCACCUCCGCUGCUGCCGCCACCCGCCCGGCCUGCCUUUGACCCUAUGGGUCACAGACAAGGCAGGGUGAUCGCGGCAAGACCCUGAGUGAGACUAGAUGCGUUACCCAGAGGGUGCGAGGUCGAGUACCUUCCCUGUCCCAUCGCAAACCCAAAGAUCCCCGUUCCUGGAGAUUCUGAUUGAGGUAAACUAACAAAACAUGUAUUGUGCCAGAGAGUGGUAAGCACUGUGGAGGGUUACAGUGGUGUAGGGGAAGACCUGUCGGGGUGGACACUUGGGGAACGCGACGUGGGGGCGGAAUCGGGCCGCUAUUGGCGUGGGCCUCAAGUUCCAGCGGACACGCACUGCAGCCUCUGCGCUUCCCCCACUAUCUGGAAAAGGGGAUGGAGGCGGGGGUCAGCUUCCCAUCCAAUCACAGCUCAGCGUGCCUCGGAGGGCGGGAGGAAACGGAACUCUGCCGGUCAGCGACUUCCGGCCGUCACCACGGAAACUGCCAGCCCCGUGAGCGCAUGGUGUGGCACUUGCCUGCGGAGGGGCCCAGGCGCCACUCCUCUGAUUCUGCAGAUGCUCCCCCAGGAGUGGCUUCUGGCCAAGGCCAAGCCCCUUCUUUGAAACUGCCUUUCAGCCUGUGUUACCUGCACCCAAGUCACCCACUGGAGGGUUGGGGGAGAGGGGCUGUGUGAAGGACCUGGACAAUGGGAUGGAAGGGGAAGAUGGCUAGGGCAAAACAGGCAAUGGCACUGGGUCCUGGAGACGCUGCCCUGAAGCCUGCAGUAUGCUGAACUUAUGCUCUCAGCAUCUGUCCACUUUCACCUAAGCUGCGUUUCCACUGGUUUGCUGCUGAAUCUACUCCUGACUGAAACCUUCCAAUGUGCAUGGGGCCAGGGUGGGAGAAGCCUUCAGCUCUAGCGAUGGGAAUGAUCACCACAGGGCAGGGAAACUGGCCCAGGGCCUGCAGCCUUUGCUUCUCAGACUGGCUGGGGUUCCAUCUGCAGGGUCCUACACCCUCAUCACCUGCUGCUUGUGAACACGAGAACAGGAAAGUCUUGAAAAAUCUGAAUUUCCAGGUGAAAUCUUCUAGUUUUAAAACUAGGAAAUGGUUUCCUAGGUGUAAAGGAGUUUUACAAAGACAUCCUGAGGCAGAAUCUGGAUCACCAGGUGUCAGUUUGCUCCUGCUGGAUCGCAUAAUCUUGGUUGGCUAGGGAGAUUCUGGCCUGUCUGGGUCCUUUCCUGGGGUUUGGCUUGGCCCAUGGCCCAGGGGACAGCCGUGACAGGGU
RNAcentral lists this long non-coding RNA (1561 nucleotides) under Homo sapiens (human). RNAcentral's name for it is "HSALNT0263159". The record is from RNAcentral. Lineage: Eukaryota; Metazoa; Chordata; Mammalia; Primates; Hominidae.